RNAcentral lists this long non-coding RNA (155 nucleotides) under Bos indicus x Bos taurus (hybrid cattle). RNAcentral's name for it is "lncRNA (ENSBIXG00005027096.1)". The record is from RNAcentral. Lineage: Eukaryota; Metazoa; Chordata; Mammalia; Artiodactyla; Bovidae.
GUGGUGUUUUUUGGCUCUGCACCUAUCUGCCUCAAAAAGUACCCAAAUGGAUGUGAAGUAAAUCACUGGGCUCCUGUCAACAUCUAAACCAAGGCAUUCCUGCUGCAGAACUUCCAGAGCAGUGCAUUUAAAGGAGAGACAUUGCCAUUUUCAAC